This 469-nucleotide ribosomal RNA is filed under the name uncultured bacterium. Its description in RNAcentral is "partial 16S ribosomal RNA". It matches the Rfam family "Bacterial small subunit ribosomal RNA", at positions 28 to 507 of the family's 1533-position model. The record is from RNAcentral.
GACGAACGCUGGCGGCGUGCUUAACACAUGCAAGUCGAACGGAAAGGCCCUGCUUGCAGGGUGCUCGAGUAGCGAACGGGUGAGUAACACGUGGGUGAUCUGCCCCUUAUUUUGGGAUAAGCCUGGGAAACUGGGUCUAAUACUGGAUAGGACCAUGCUGUAGGUGGUGUGGUGGAAAGAUUAGUUUCGGUAAGGGAUGAGCUCGCGGCCUAUCAGCUUGUUGGUGGGGUAAUGGCCUACCAAGGCGUCGACGGGUAGCCGGCCUGAGAGGGUGGACGGCCACAUUGGGACUGAGAUACGGCCCAGACUCCUACGGGAGGCAGCAGUGGGGAAUAUUGCACAAUGGGCGCAAGCCUGAUGCAGCGACGCCGCGUGGGGGAUGACGGCCUUCGGGUUGUAAACUCCUUUCAGCCAUGACGAAGCCCUUGUGGUGACGGUAGUGGUAGAAGAAGCACCGGCUAACUACGUG